Molecule: ribosomal RNA, 1203 nt
Filed under: activated sludge metagenome
Description: bacterial LSU rRNA
Rfam family: Bacterial large subunit ribosomal RNA
Source: RNAcentral
GUAGAGACAACUAGGAGGUUGGCUUAGAAGCAGCCAUCCUUUAAAGAGUGCGUAAUAGCUCACUAGUCGAAUGAUUCUGCGCCGAAAAUGUAACGGGGCUAAGCAUAGUACCGAAGCUGCGGAAUUUAUAGUAAUAUAAAUUGGUAGGGGAGCGUACUUAGAGCAGAGAAGUUAGACCGGAAGGACUAAUGGAGCGCUAAGCAGUGAGAAUGCCGGUGUGAGUAACGAAAAGAUAGGUGAGAAUCCUAUCCGUCGAAAGCCUAAGGUUUCCAGGGGAAGGGUCGUCCGCCCUGGGUAAGUCGGGUCCUAAGGUGAGGCUGAAGAGCGUAGCCGAUGGACAACAGGUUGAGAUUCCUGUACCACCUAAUUAACUGAAGGAGUGACGGAGAAGGCUAACCAGAGCUAAUUAGUGGAUUUUAGUUUAAGCACAAAGGUGGGCAUAUAGGCAAAACCGUAUGCUAAUAAACAUUGAAGUGUGAAGACGCAAGUCUGGUGAAGCCACGCUUCCAAGAAAAGUUUCUAAGGCUAAUUAAUUAGGUGCCCGUACCGUAAACGGACACACGUAGGCGAGGAGAGAAUCCAAAGACGCGCGAGAAAACUCUUGUUAAGGAACUCUGCAAAAUUACCCCGUAACUUCGGAAUAAGGGGGGCUCAUUAGGGAUAAUGAGUCGCAGAUAAUAGGCCCAAGCGACUGUUUACCAAAAACAUAGGUCUCUGCUAAACCGCAAGGUGAAGUAUAGGGGCUGACGCCUGCCCAGUGCUGGAAGGUUAAGAGGAGGAGUUAGGAGCAAUCCGAAGCUUUGAAUUGAAGCCCCAGUAAACGGCGGCCGUAACUAUAACGGUCCUAAGGUAGCGAAAUUCCUUGUCGGGUAAGUUCCGACCCGCACGAAAGGCGUAACGAUUUGGGCGCUGUCUCAACUCGAGACUCGGUGAAAUCAUACUACCUGUGAAGAUGCAGGUUACCCGCGACUAGACGGAAAGACCCCAUGGAGCUUCACUGCAACUUGAUAUUGGUAUUGGGUAUUGGAUGUACAGGAUAGGUGGGAGACGAAGAGACCGGGACGCUAGUUUCGGAAGAGUCACCGUUGGGAUACCACCCUUUUAAUAUUUAGUAUCUAACUAGUAGUCAAAAGCGGGCUAUAGAACAGUGUCAGGUGGGCAGUUUGACUGGGGCGGUCGCCUCCUAAAGAGUAACGGAGGCGC